GAAAGGGGAAGGGAGGGGCACCAAGUGAGUGGGGCUGGGGGCGGGAAGAUGGUUUAACAGUCAAACCUGCAAAGCGUCAUCUUGUCUCCCUACCAGGAAGCGGGCUGUGAGCCAAGGGAAAAGCAGAAGACAGAUAUGAAUGCGUUCCCAAGCUUUCCUCGUGGUUUAUGUCAUUCUCCAAACUCCCAAGCAAGGGCUAUUCCUGACCAAGAAGACCCAAGGAGACCGUCUCUAAAAUCAAGUCCGGAUGGAGACGUCUCUCUAAAGAACACACAAGUGGCCAAACCCAUCCAGGCCUCGAUGAGCUUCCUGGCUGCUGCUCUGGUGGAAGUCUAAUGUUUAGAGGACCUGACCAUUCUUAAAAGGAGAGUCUAGAUGAAAUUUACUGAGCUGGCCCUCACCUUUUCCUUGGCUGUGGAUAGGUUGUUGGAUUAGUGGUGCUGAAUGUCUGAGAUACGGAAAGAAGCCUGUACAUUCCCACCUCACAGACACAGGGAUAUGAAACAAAACUGGGGUUGAUAUUUGGGGUAAGCAACAAUGAUAAAACAUUUCAUCUGCAAAACAUCUAUAGAGCUGACGUUUUUAAUUGGAGGUGUUUCAACACAUUCAAAAGAUAAAAGUAAUCGCUCAUGUUUUUCUUCCUUUUCUUUCUCCUCAUAUUCCUAACUCAUCUCAUCAGUAAACGGUACUCUAAAAAUGACAAAGUGUGCCCGAUGUUUGUGUCACUUGGCCCUUGAAUUUUAUGGUUCAGGCUUGUUAAAAAAAAUAGAAAUAAUUUAGUUUUUGCCCUUUUAAGUGGAAUAUUAUUUUUUUAAGUUAGAUUGUAAAAAGUUAAAUUUAAUUCAUUUCAAAUUUAUUUUUAUGUUUAAUUUAGUUCUCAGUUUAAACUAAAAGAGAUUACUGCGUGAUUACUAAGCUCCAUUCUGUCUUUAAUGUUCUAAGAGCUGACGCCAGUAAGUGGAAAUUCAGUGAGACCAUCUUAUAAACUCUUGUUAUAGAAGGUACUAGCUUUUUAAAAAUACCCCACAUAAUGACAAAUUAAGAGGGUGUGGAGAAAGAGCCAGGAGUGCAGUUUCCAGCUCUCAGCCUCACGUGGAAAGGUGCUAGCUCAGGUACUAAAUGACCAUCAACUGUGAUUGGAUGGCCAUCAGCUGUGGCUAGUUGGCCGUCAGCUGUAACCAGUGAGCCAUUGGCCACUAAUAUAACUGCCGUGGCUACGCUAGCAGAAAAUGAGGGCUAGCAAGAAGAUGGUGGCUGGCAAGCGCUGAGUGUGGUGGAGUGUGGAUUGCGG
RNAcentral lists this long non-coding RNA (1291 nucleotides) under Rhinolophus ferrumequinum (greater horseshoe bat). Its description in RNAcentral is "lncRNA (ENSRFEG00010015833.1)". The record is from RNAcentral. Lineage: Eukaryota; Metazoa; Chordata; Mammalia; Chiroptera; Rhinolophidae.